RNAcentral lists this ribosomal RNA (253 nucleotides) under uncultured bacterium. Its description in RNAcentral is "partial 16S ribosomal RNA". It matches the Rfam family "Bacterial small subunit ribosomal RNA", at positions 524 to 776 of the family's 1533-position model. The record is from RNAcentral.
UACGUAAGUGGCGAGCGUUAUCCGGAAUUACUGGGCGUAAAGCGUGCGUAGGCGGUUUAGUGUGUGGGAUUUGAAAGCCCGGGGCUCAACUCCGGAUCCGGAUCCCAAACUGCUAGACUCGAGAGUAUCAGAGGAGAGCGGAAUUCCUGGUGUAGCGGUAAUAUGCGUAGAUAUCGGGAGGAACACCAGUGGCGAAGGCGGCUCUCUGGGGUAUUUCUGACGCUGAGGCACGAAAGCCAGGGGAGCGAACGGG